RNAcentral lists this long non-coding RNA (340 nucleotides) under Elaeis guineensis (African oil palm). Its description in RNAcentral is "long non-coding RNA (EGUI_LNC067959)". Lineage: Eukaryota; Viridiplantae; Streptophyta; Magnoliopsida; Arecales; Arecaceae. The record is from RNAcentral.
UCGGGUAGGAAAAAACCGACACCAAUCACCCAAUUUUGUUAAAGAAUUAAAGAAUACAAUUUGUAAAAUUUACAAAAGAGCAAAUAGAAGAGCUGCAAUGAGCAUUAGAACUGCAGCAGAUUGGAUAUCUUUAUGAAAAGAAGCCACCCUCCAGGAAGAGCACAUGUGGAGCAAAAAGCCCUCAGUUGGGGGCACACCCAAGUCUUUGGGCAAAGGACAGACCAAAUAGAGGCGGAUAAGGGCGCAGACCUAUUGGAAACCCAAAUCUUUUGGAGUUUAUUGAAACAGCUGCCUUCUUGCGACUGUUGGGCCUGUGGUGUCGUCUUCACUUGUCCAAAAG